UUGCAUAUCAUUAAGCGGAGGAAAAGAAACCAACAGGGAUUGCCUUAGUAGCGGCGAGUGAGCGGCACAGCUCAAAUUUGAAAUCUGGCGUAUUCUGCGUCCGAGUUGUAAUUUGAAGAAGGAUACUUUGGGGUUGGCUCUUGUCUAUGUUUCUUGGAACAGAACGUCACAGAGGGUGAGAAUCCCGUGCGAUGAGAAGCCCAAUUCCGUGUAAAGUGCCUUCGAAGAGUCGAGUUGUUUGGGAAUGCAGCUCUAAGUGGGUGGUAAAUUCCAUCUAAAGCUAAAUAUUGGCGAGAGACCGAUAGCGAACAAGUACAGUGAUGGAAAGAUGAAAAGAACUUUGAAAAGAGAGUGAAAAAGUACGUGAAAUUGUUGAAAGGGAAGGGCUUGAGAUCAGACUUGGUAUUUUGUAUGUCUUGCUUUCGGGUGGGGCCUCUGCAUUUUACUGGGCCAGCAUCGGUUCGGGUGGUAGGACAAUUGCAAAGGAACGUGGCACUGCUUCGGUGGAGUGUUAUAGCCUUUGUGGAUACUGCCUGUCUGGACCGAGGACUGCGUCAUUUGACUAGGAUGCUGGCAUAAUGAUCUUAAGUCGCCCGUCUUGAAACACGGACCA
Molecule: ribosomal RNA, 613 nt
Filed under: Hemisphaericaspora elongata
Lineage: Eukaryota; Fungi; Ascomycota; Pichiomycetes; Serinales; Debaryomycetaceae
Description: Spathaspora elongata partial large subunit ribosomal RNA
Rfam family: Eukaryotic large subunit ribosomal RNA
Source: RNAcentral